UUAAGUUAUUGUUCGAGCUCAAGGUCACGGGAUCCUUGGCCA
RNAcentral lists this ribosomal RNA (42 nucleotides) under uncultured Synechococcus sp. RNAcentral describes it as "partial 23S ribosomal RNA". Lineage: Bacteria; Bacillati; Cyanobacteriota; Cyanophyceae; Synechococcales; Synechococcaceae. The record is from RNAcentral.